Molecule: ribosomal RNA, 439 nt
Filed under: uncultured bacterium
Lineage: Bacteria
Description: bacterial SSU rRNA
Rfam family: Bacterial small subunit ribosomal RNA
Source: RNAcentral
UGAGGAAUAUUGCGCAAUGGGCGAAAGCCUGACGCAGCGACGCCGCGUGGGGGAUGAAGGUCUUCGGAUUGUAAACCCCUUUCGGGAGGGAAGAUGGAACGGGCAACCGUUCGGACGGUACCUCCAGAAGCAGCCACGGCUAACUUCGUGCCAGCAGCCGCGGUAAUACGAAGGUGGCAAGCGUUGUUCGGAUUUACUGGGCGUACAGGGUGCGUAGGCGGUUCGGUAAGCCCUUCGGGAAAACUCCAGGCUCAACCUGGAAAGUUCGGAGGGGACUGCCGGGCUAGAGGACGGGAGAGGAGCGCGGAAUUCCCGGUGUAGCGGUGAAAUGCGUAGAGAUCGGGAGGAAGGCCGGUGGCGAAGGCGGCGCUCUGGAACGUUCCUGACGCUGAGGCACGAAAGCGUGGGGAGCAAACAGGAUUAGAUACCCCCGUAGUCC